GACAGAGGGUGCAAACGUUGCUCGGAAUUACUGGGCGUAAAGCGCGUGUAGGUGGAUUGGUGUGUCAGAUGUGAAAUCCCUGGGCUCAACCCAGGAACUGCACCUGAAACUACCAGUCUUGAGUGGUGGAGAGGGAAGUGGAAUUCCUGGUGUAGAGGUGAAAUUCGUAGAUAUCAGGAGGAACACCAGUGCCGAAGGCGGCUUCCUGGACACCAACUGACGCUGAGACGCGAAAGCGUGGGGGAGCAAACAGG
Molecule: ribosomal RNA, 254 nt
Filed under: uncultured bacterium
Lineage: Bacteria
Description: partial 16S ribosomal RNA
Rfam family: Bacterial small subunit ribosomal RNA
Source: RNAcentral